This 71-nucleotide transfer RNA is filed under the name Cricetulus griseus (Chinese hamster). It matches the Rfam family "tRNA". Rfam says of the family: Transfer RNA (tRNA) molecules are approximately 80 nucleotides in length. Their secondary structure includes four short double-helical elements and three loops (D, anti-codon, and T loops). The record is from Rfam by way of RNAcentral. Lineage: Eukaryota; Metazoa; Chordata; Mammalia; Rodentia; Cricetidae.
GUAGGUGUAGCUCAGUAGUAGAGCAUUUGCCUAGUAUGUAUAGGACCUUGAUUUGAUUCCUAACACUUAAA